Camellia sinensis is the source of this 516-nucleotide long non-coding RNA. RefSeq lists it as uncharacterized. Lineage: Eukaryota; Viridiplantae; Streptophyta; Magnoliopsida; Ericales; Theaceae. The record is from RefSeq and is a predicted model, not a curated record.
CAUAUAAAUUGACUAUUAUACUCUCUUCUUCUUACUCUUCUCCAUAAUGGUAGAGAGAGAGAGAGAAUGGAAACACCGUUUGCAAUGACUUUCUCCAUUUCAGCUCAAAUAUGAAGAUCACAAAUCUCAAUUCAGACCCUUCUCUGCUUCACUCCCAAUCUCCACCACUCUCUUCUUGUUUGCCCUCUUUUCAACCCCACAUGAAUCCAAAGAUCUUAGCCUCUCCAGAGAUCAAAUUGUGGAGAAGACCAUUGAUCAAGUUCAGGAAGUGGGUUCAAGUUUUUCCGAUGUGGCACAGCAUGUUUUUCGAGGUGCACACCAUGUGUUUGAACAAAUACAUUAAGGCAUUCACCGACAUGCACACCAUGUGUUUGAAUUUGGGCUCGUUCCGUUGUGGUAAAAGGCUACUAACAGGAGAGAUUAAAGAAAUGGAGAGAGAUGUGUUUUAUGUAUAUAUAUGUGUGUGUACACAUGAUCAAGAAAAAUGGAUUUCAGAAAAAUAGGUUUGAAUUUAUA